RNAcentral lists this ribosomal RNA (1241 nucleotides) under metagenome. RNAcentral describes it as "bacterial LSU rRNA". It matches the Rfam family "Bacterial large subunit ribosomal RNA", at positions 1564 to 2815 of the family's 2925-position model. The record is from RNAcentral.
UGAAUACGAGACGCUAAGGCGUCGAAGUAGUGUAUGUCAUACUUCCAAGAAAAGCUUGCACUGUCAUAGAUAAAAAACGCCUGUACCAUAACCGACACAGGUGGGUAGGUAGAGUAUACUAAGGGGCGCGAGAUAACUCUCUCUAAGGAACUCGGCAAAAUAACUCCGUAACUUCGGGAGAAGGAGUGCCUUAUUCGUAAGGUUGCAAUAACAAGAUCCAAGCAACUGUUUAUCAAAAACACAGGUCUCCGCUAAGUCGUAAGACGAUGUAUGGGGGCUGACGCCUGCCCAGUGCCAUAGGGUUAAAGAAGUUGGUUAGCAAUUGCGAAGCUGAUAACUGAAGCCCUGGUGAACGGCGGCCGUAACUAUAACGGUCCUAAGGUAGCGAAAUUCCUUGUCGGGUAAGUUCCGACCCGCACGAAAGGCGUAAUGAUUUGGAUACUGUCUCGGAGAGGGGCUCGGUGAAAUAGACUUGUCUGUGAAGAUGCGGACUACCUGCACCAGGACAGAAAGACCCUAUGAAGCUUUACUGUAACUUGAAAUUGAAAUUGGACUUUAUUCGCGCAGUAUAGGUGGGAGGCGUUGAUUAUAAUCUUGUGGGAUUAUUGGAGCCAUCAGUGAGAUACCACUCUUGUAAUGUUAGAUUUCUAACUUUGAAUCAUUAUCUGGUCAAAGAACAGUUUCAGGCGGGCAGUUUGACUGGGGCGGUCGCCUCCUAAACGGUAACGGAGGCGUACAAAGGUUUCCUCUGAACGGUUAGAAAUCGUAUCUAGAGUGUAAAGGCAUAAGGAAGCUUGACUGUGAGACCUACAAGUCGAGCAGGGACGAAAGUCGGUCUUAGUGAUCUGACGGUACUGAGUGGAAAGGCCGUCACUCAACGGAUAAAAGUUACUCUAGGAUAACAGGCUGAUCUCCCCCAAGAGUUCACAUCGACGGGGAGGUUUGGCACCUCGAUGUCGGCUCAUCGCAUCCUGGGGCGGUAGUACGUCCCAAGGGUUGGGCUGUUCGCCCAUGAAAGCGGUACGCGAGCUGGGUUCAGAACGUCGUGAGACAGUUCGGUCCAUAUCCGGUGUAGGCGUUAGAAAAUUGAGAGGAGCCUUCUUUAGUACGAGAGGACCGAGAAGGACAUACCUCUGGUGUACCAGUUAUCGUGCCAACGGUAAACGCUGGGUAGCUAUGUAUGGAGUGGAUAACCGCUGAAAGCAUCUAAGUGGGAAGCCCACCUCAAGAUAAGUAUUCUC